AUUGAACGCUGGCGGCAGGCCUAACACAUGCAAGUCGAGCGGAUGAAGGGAGCUUGCUCCUGGAUUCAGCGGCGGACGGGCGAGUAAUGCCUAGGAAUCUGCCUGGUAGUGGGGGAUAACGUCCGGAAACGGGCGCUAAUACCGCAUACGUCCUGAGGGAGAAAGUGGGGGAUCUUCGGACCUCACGCUAUCAGAUGAGCCUAGGUCGGAUUAGCUAGUUGGUGGGGUAAAGGCCUACCAAGGCGACGAUCCGUAACUGGUCUGAGAGGAUGAUCAGUCACACUGGAACUGAGACACGGUCCGGACUCCUACGGGAGGCAGCAGUGGGGAAUAUUGGACAAUGGGCGAAAGCCUGAUCCAGCCAUGCCGCGUGUGUGAAGAAGGUCUUCGGAUUGUAAAGCACUUUAAGUUGGGAGGAAGGGCAGUAAGUUAAUACCUUGCUGUUUUGACGUUACCAACAGAAUAAGCACCGGCUAACUUCGUG
Molecule: ribosomal RNA, 484 nt
Filed under: uncultured bacterium
Lineage: Bacteria
Description: partial 16S ribosomal RNA
Rfam family: Bacterial small subunit ribosomal RNA
Source: RNAcentral